GCACAAGCGGUGGAGCAUGUGGCUUAAUUCGACGCAACGCGAAGAACCUUACCAAGGCUUGACAUGCAGGGAAAUCCUCCAGAGAUGGGGGGUCCGCAAGGGUCCUGCACAGGUGGUGCAUGGUUGUCGUCAGCUCGUGUCGUGAGAUGUUGGGUUAAGUCCCGCAACGAGCGCAACCCUUGUCCUAUGUUGCCAGCGGGUUAUGCCGGGGACUCGUAGGAGACUGCCGGGGUCAACUCGGAGGAAGGUGGGGAUGACGUCAAGUCAUCAUGCCCCUUAUGUCCAGGGCUUCACACAUGCUACAAUGGCCGGUACAAAGGGCUGCGAUGCCGUGAGGUGGAGCGAAUCCUUUCAAAGCCGGUCUCAGUUCGGAUCGGGGUCUGCAACUCGACCCCGUGAAGUCGGAGUCGCUAGUAAUCGCAGAUCAGCAACGCUGCGGUGAAUACGUUCCCGGGC
Molecule: ribosomal RNA, 456 nt
Filed under: uncultured bacterium
Lineage: Bacteria
Description: bacterial SSU rRNA
Rfam family: Bacterial small subunit ribosomal RNA
Source: RNAcentral